ACUGCAAGUCGAGCGGACAGAAGGGAGCUUGCUCCCGGAUGUUAGCGGCGGACGGGUGAGUAACACGUGGGUAACCUGCCUGUAAGACUGGGAUAACUCCGGGAAACCGGAGCUAAUACCGGAUAGUUCCUUGAACCGCAUGGUUCAAGGAUGAAAGACGGUUUCGGCUGUCACUUACAGAUGGACCCGCGGCGCAUUAGCUAGUUGGUGGGGUAAUGGCUCACCAAGGCGACGAUGCGUAGCCGACCUGAGAGGGUGAUCGGCCACACUGGGACUGAGACACGGCCCAGACUCCUACGGGAGGCAGCAGUAGGGAAUCUUCCGCAAUGGACGAAAGUCUGACGGAGCAACGCCGCGUGAGUGAUGAAGGUUUUCGGAUCGUAAAGCUCUGUUGUUAGGGAAGAACAAGUGCGAGAGUAACUGCUCGCACCUUGACGGUACCUAACCAGAAAGCCACGGCUAACUACGUGCCAGCAGCCGCGGUAAUACGUAGGUGGCAAGCGUUGUCCGGAAUUAUUGGGCGUAAAGGGCUCGCAGGCGGUUUCUUAAGUCUGAUGUGAAAGCCCCCGGCUCAACCGGGGAGGGUCAUUGGAAACUGGGAAACUUGAGUGCAGAAGAUGAGAGUGGAAUUCCACGUGUAGCGGUGAAAUGCGUAGAGAUGUGGAGGAACACCAGUGGCGAAGGCGACUCUCUGGUCUGUAACUGACGCUGAGGAGCGAAAGUGUGGGGAGCGAAUAUGAUUAGAUACCCUGGUAGUCCACGACCGUA
This 768-nucleotide ribosomal RNA is filed under the name Bacillus zhangzhouensis. Its description in RNAcentral is "bacterial SSU rRNA". It matches the Rfam family "Bacterial small subunit ribosomal RNA", at positions 53 to 804 of the family's 1533-position model. Lineage: Bacteria; Bacillati; Bacillota; Bacilli; Caryophanales; Bacillaceae. The record is from RNAcentral.